GCUGGCGGCACGCCUUAUACAUGCAAGUCGAACGGAGUAGCAAUACUCAGUGGCAGACGGGUGAGUAACAUGUAGGUAUCUUCCCUUUGGUGAGGAAUAACACGAGGAAACUUGUGCUAAUACCUCAUAAGUCCUUACGGAGAAAGCUUUAUGCGCCAAUGGAUGAGCCUGCACUUGAUUAGUUUGUUGGUAGGGUAAUGGCCUACCAAGACUGUGAUCAAUAGCUGAUCUGAGAGGAUGAUCAGCCACAUUGGGACUGAGACACGGCCCAAACUCCUACGGGAGGCAGCAGUAGGGAAUAUUGCACAAUGGAGGAAACUCUGAUGCAGCGAUGCCGCGUGAGUGAAGAAGGCCUUUGGGUUGUAAAGCUCUUUCGUCGGGGAAGAAAAUGACUGUACCCGAAUAAGAAGGUCCGGCUAACUUCGUGCCAGCAGCCGCGGUAAUACGAAGGGACCUAGCGUAGUUCGGAAUUACUGGGCUUAAAGAGUUCGUAGGUGGUUAAAAAAGUUGGUGGUGAAAUCCCAGAGCUUAACUCUGGAACUGCCAUCAAAACUUUUUAGCUAGAGUAUGAUAGAGGAAAGCAGAAUUUCUAGUGUAGAGGUGAAAUUCGUAGAUAUUAGAAAGAAUACCGAUUGCGAAGGCAGCUUUCUGGAUCAUUACUGACACUGAGGAACGAAAGCAUGGGUAGCGAAGAGGAUUAGAUACCCUCGUAGUCCAUGCUGUAAACGAUGUGUGUUAGACGUUGGAAAUUUAUUUUCAGUGUCGCAGCGAAAGCAAUAAACACACCGCCUGGGGAGUACGAC
Molecule: ribosomal RNA, 803 nt
Filed under: uncultured Pelagibacteraceae bacterium
Lineage: Bacteria; Pseudomonadati; Pseudomonadota; Alphaproteobacteria; Candidatus Pelagibacterales; Candidatus Pelagibacteraceae
Description: bacterial SSU rRNA
Rfam family: Bacterial small subunit ribosomal RNA
Source: RNAcentral